Molecule: ribosomal RNA, 516 nt
Filed under: uncultured bacterium
Lineage: Bacteria
Description: bacterial SSU rRNA
Rfam family: Bacterial small subunit ribosomal RNA
Source: RNAcentral
GGGGGAACCCUGAUCCAGCCAUGCCGCGUGUGUGAAGAAGGCCUUUUGGUUGUAAAGCACUUUAAGCGAGGAGGAGGCUACUCUAGUUAAUACCUAGGGAUAGUGGACGUUACUCGCAGAAUAAGCACCGGCUAACUCUGUGCCAGCAGCCGCGGUAAUACAGAGGGCGCGAGCGUUAAUCGGAUUUACUGGGCGUAAAGCGUGCGUAGGCGGCUUUUUAAGUCGGAUGUGAAAUCCCUGAGCUUAACUUAGGAAUUGCAUUCGAUACUGGGAAGCUAGAGUAUGGGAGAGGAUGGUAGAAUUCCAGGUGUAGCGGUGAAAUGCGUAGAGAUCUGGAGGAAUACCGAUGGCGAAGGCAGCCAUCUGGCCUAAUACUGACGCUGAGGUACGAAAGCAUGGGGAGCAAACAGGAUUAGAUACCCUGGUAGUCCAUGCCGUAAACGAUGUCUACUAGCCGUUGGGGCCUUUGAGGCUUUAGUGGCGCAGCUAACGCGAUAAGUAGACCGCCUGGGGAGU